UGGAAAACUGCAUAAAAAUAUCCAUUUUGAACACCCUCCUCCUCUUCUCCGGAAGUAGACUGGAAUCUUGUAUUUCUUCACAGCAAGUGUAUCGCAAUUGUAAAAAAGAAAACAGAGUGCUGGAAGGGAACUUCAAGUCACAGAUGCCAAACCCUUAUUGUUCAGAUGAAGAUAAUGAGGAUCUCCGUCACUCCUACCCCUGAUUCCAUCUGCAAUUUGACUGAACUCAAAGAAGAGACUGUGCAAGGGGACUGGAAAUGGAAAGGGUAAUCAAGGUCAUGGCUUUCAGGCUUCCUUCAGAUUCUACAGCUACCGUGAAGAAAGCUGCAUUCCCACGAGAACAUGUCAGCCUGGAAGAAAAGUAUGACAAAGGGUCUCCAGGAAGCCCUCUGACACUUGGAUCUUAUCUCAUUCCAUAAGCGAAAGACCGGUUCUCUAAACCAAAGAACGAUGCAAAGUAUGUCUUUAUCAAGCAUUGUUUUCGCAUUACUCCCCUGUGUAGGAUGGGACAAUCACUCCAUUGUCUCUUUAAACAAUUUUUAAAUAUUCUUGAAUUUUGGCUUAGAAAUUGUCAUUUGAGAUGACUUUGACCCCUUGGACUACUAGCUCAUAUUUUUUUACUUCAGCCUGGCAAAAGUUAUUGUCCCUCAUAAAACUUUACCCUCUCUCUCUUCUAAGCCAUCACAUAAAACUUUCCUUCUGAUUAUACAUACCCCUUCUCAAGUCAUAUCCAUUACUCUGUCAACUUCCCAUGGAGGUUAAUCUGCUAGUGAGAAUUUAAGUGAACUCUCGGAGCAGAGAUAUUCUCACAGAGCAUGGAGCCUGGACUCUGAAGUCAUCCAGUGCAAGUUCAAAUCCCAGUUCUUCCAUUUUCUAAUUGCCACACUGGUAAAACUAAUCCUUCUAAACCAUUGUUUCCUUGCUUGGAAAAUGAAUAUAAAAAUAAUAUUAUUAGCAUAAUGUUUGUUCUGAUUAAAUGAAGAUUAUGAAGAUAUACUCCUC
This is a long non-coding RNA of Fukomys damarensis (Damara mole-rat), 1002 nucleotides long. RefSeq lists it as uncharacterized. The transcript has 3 exons. The record is from RefSeq and is a predicted model, not a curated record. Lineage: Eukaryota; Metazoa; Chordata; Mammalia; Rodentia; Bathyergidae.